This 497-nucleotide long non-coding RNA is filed under the name Malus domestica (apple). RNAcentral's name for it is "long non-coding RNA (MDOM_LNC014179)". Lineage: Eukaryota; Viridiplantae; Streptophyta; Magnoliopsida; Rosales; Rosaceae. The record is from RNAcentral.
AUGGUUUUGAGUGAAGUUUUGGCCAAUCCUUCUAGAAAUUUAUCCCUUCUUGCAACUUGUAUUUGUUUCACCAAAUUUUUAGCAUGUUCCUAGCCUCUUUUUUUCUUCAAAUUCGUCCAUCCAUCUUGCUCAUAUCAUAAGUAAUCCAUUCCAAGCUCAAAACUGCUCUAAAAUGCACCAAAAUGCACUUUCUUGCUACCUUAACCCUUUGGACCUACAAACACACGAAAAUGGCUUAAAGUACUAAAAUAACUAAGAACUAAUAACGUAAAUGCAAGAAAACUAGUUAACUAAGUCGCAUAAAUAUGCGUCUAUCACGUUCUGAACAAAAUCUUCGGUGAUCGACCUAAGAAGGCUCAUGCCCCCAACCCCAAGGUAACAGUUUAUUUCUACCUUUUUCCUUCAAUUUUGAACUACUGAUCGGCUUUGCUGAUUUGCUUUUACUUUUCUAGGCAGUUGGCCAUUGAAAAAGGUGGAAGUGGUCACUGCGGCUGCGG